This 370-nucleotide ribosomal RNA is filed under the name Chalastonepsia orientalis. RNAcentral's name for it is "partial 16S ribosomal RNA". The record is from RNAcentral. Lineage: Eukaryota; Metazoa; Arthropoda; Insecta; Diptera; Mycetophilidae.
AAUCAGUAGUUUUUUAAUUGAAAACUUGUAUGAAUGGUUUAACGAAAUAUAAGCUGUUUCAAUAAAAUUUUAAUAGAAAUUAAUUUUUUAGUAAAAAAGCUAAAAUUUAAUUAAAAGACGAGAAGACCCUUUAGAUUUUUAUAUAUUUAAAUAUUAAUUUAAUUUUAUAUUUUUUAAAAUUUUAAUUUUUAAUAUAUUUUAUUGGGGUGAUAAUAAAAAAUUUUUAUCUUUUAUUUUUAUUUAACAUUAUUAUAUGGUUUAUUGAUCCAAUAUUAUUGAUUAAAAGAAUUAAUUACCUAAGGGAUAACAGCGUAAUUUUUUUGGAAAGUUCUAAUUUAUAAAAAGUUUUGCGACCUCGAUGUUGGAUUAA